UGGCUCAGAACGAACGCUGGCGGCGUGCCUAACACAUGCAAGUCGAACGAGAAAGGGGAGCAAUCCCUGAGUAAAGUGGCGACCGGGUGAGUAACACGUGACUAACCUGCCUUCGAGUGGGGGAUAACCUCGGGAAACCGGGGCUAAUACCGCAUAAUGCCUUCGGGUUAAAGGAGCAAUUCGCUUGAAGAGGGGGUCGCGGCUGAUUAGCUAGUUGGCGGGGUAACGGCCCACCAAGGCAAAGAUCGGUAGCCGGCCUGAGAGGGCGCACGGCCACAUNGUACCUGAAACACGGCACNGACUCCUACUGGAUCAGUCAGUGGG
RNAcentral lists this ribosomal RNA (324 nucleotides) under uncultured Acidobacteriota bacterium. RNAcentral describes it as "bacterial SSU rRNA". It matches the Rfam family "Bacterial small subunit ribosomal RNA", at positions 20 to 358 of the family's 1533-position model. Lineage: Bacteria; Pseudomonadati; Acidobacteriota. The record is from RNAcentral.